Molecule: long non-coding RNA, 533 nt
Organism: Epinephelus lanceolatus (giant grouper)
Lineage: Eukaryota; Metazoa; Chordata; Actinopteri; Perciformes; Serranidae
Source: RefSeq, a predicted model, not a curated record
CAAGGGCAACAUGUUUUGGAAUAGUGAGCAAACUACUAGAUAAAUGAGAUAUAAUGAAAGUUUUGGUGUUGUUAAACAUGUUGAUGAUGAUGUCAAUUCAUCAACGAUUUUCUCUGUUUUUGGAUUCUUUGUUCACCGUGGAGGUAUGAGAGAAAAACAAAGUUUUCUUCAUGAAUUCAACAUCACACAGGACCAGCGUCAUCCUCCUCUCCGUACCUCUCUUUGCCCUGGCUGAUGUACAUCCUCUCCAGCUCGGCCAUGUUCCUCAGGUGAGCAGCCUUCAGCUCCUCCAGCCUCCUGUAGUACUCCUGGUUGGAGAAGUAAACGUGCUGCUCCCUCUGCAGACCGUAGAUCUCCAGGGACAGAGACCUGCGAACGCAUCUGCCACCUUGUCUGUCCUCGCUGCACUCUGAGUCCUGAUCGUACUCCUGAAGGGUGGAACAUAGUGCUGUUUGAUAAAUGCAUCAGGGUCAUAAUGUUUCAUAAUGUAAAAGCACUUUGCUGUUUGAUUAUCAGUAAAGUAUUUCUGAUAA